RNAcentral lists this ribosomal RNA (440 nucleotides) under uncultured bacterium. Its description in RNAcentral is "partial 16S ribosomal RNA". It matches the Rfam family "Bacterial small subunit ribosomal RNA", at positions 338 to 795 of the family's 1533-position model. The record is from RNAcentral.
CCUACGGGUGGCAGCAGUAGGGAAUAUUGCUCAAUGGGGGAAACCCUGAAGCAGCAACGCCGCGUGGAGGAUGAAGGUUUUAGGAUUGUAACCUCCUUUUGUUAGAGAAGAUUAUGACGGUAUCUAACGAAUAAGCACCGGCUAACUCCGUGCCAGCAGCCGCGGUAAUACGGAGGGUGAAAGCGUUACUCGGAAUAACUGGGCGUAAAGAGUGCGUAGGCGGGGUAAUACGUGAGAUGUGAAGUCCUGUAGCUUAACUACAGAACUGCAUUUGAAACUUUUAAUCUGGAGUGUGGGAUGGGUAGGUGGAAUUCUUGGUGUAGGGGUAAAAUCCGUAGAGAUCAAGAGGAAUACUCAUUGCGAAGGCGAGCUGCUGGAACAUUACUGACGCUGAUGCACGAAAGCGUGGGGAGCAAACAGGAUUAGAUACCCGGGUAGUC